Dalotia coriaria is the source of this 1878-nucleotide long non-coding RNA. RefSeq lists it as uncharacterized. Lineage: Eukaryota; Metazoa; Arthropoda; Insecta; Coleoptera; Staphylinidae. The transcript is spliced from 5 exons. The record is from RefSeq and is a predicted model, not a curated record.
UCUUUGAAACUUGUUUGUCAACUCAACAUUUGUUUAUCAACAUUCUUUGCUGGCCCGAUAAAGUGUGAUUGUUAGUGAACAAACAUCAGUUGUGUGCAUGGUUUCAUCUCUAGUGUUUCUCAACGUGUGUGCAUCAGGCUAUACCUAGCCCCAUUGGGAUCCUGCAAAUCGGGCCGUAUUUGACAUAUGGGAUCCGCUUCAGGGUCCACGGACCGAUCGUCGGCGAACAAUGGACUACCUUUAAAGCCAUCUGGUUUCUUCAGUUUCGCAACGAUGGACUCGCGCCCGGCGACGCUGUUACCACUGGCGAAUGUGCAUUGAAUUUCACUCACUUGUCCGGGCAUCUGAUGUUCUACCCGCAAAGCAAUGGGGUACAGCGUCUGAACCCGUCCUACCAGGAUAACCGUUCUUACAUCAGAUGAUAAGUAUCGAAAUUCUUUAUCAUUUGCAUGCAUAGCGUUUGUGAUUAAUAUACGGAUUGGACAGAAAUAUUACAUUUUUGGCGUUUGAAGGAAUGCUAGGAUAACCGUAGAUUUUGUAAUUCUUUAUCGCUUUAUCAUUUAUUUGUUACGAUCCACUAUUUUUUACUGCGUUUGCUGUGUACGAUUUUGUUAAGUUCAAAAAUAUUAACAAUUAGUUCCUUUUGUACCAAAUAACAAGUUUCCAGGAAAUAAUUUCAGCAUUUAAUGUUGGUAGCUUUGGAACAAUUUCCUGCAAGAAGAACUACUAAUCAUAGUUUGUACCGCCGCUACUAGGUGUUGCUAGCUCGCAUUUAACUUACAGGUGUUAAUCAUUCGUUUGGUGUUUCGAAAGUAGAUGGCGCAAGUAUCGGAAGUUUUGUUUUGCAACUCUCAUUUUGUUCGUACGCUGACGUUGUUUGUGGACGUGUUUGGUUGGUCGAUCUUCGUAUAGAUUUUUGAUUUGGCUCCGCAGAAAUUUUGUCGAGUGCGCUAGGAGUACCAAAACUGGGGCUCAUAGUUUAGCGAUGCUUGUAUGUAAACAAUUUUUGUUGCGUUUACCGAACGUAUCGCGCAAUACUGAUAAUGUCCUCGUGUUGUCGCUGUUGACUGUGUGCAGUUCCAUACCGGCAGUCGGGUGUAUCGCGUGUGUUCAUCGCGACUAGUCUUGUUUCUUCAGAUCAUAAUUAAGUUAAUUGACUUACAUUUGUUAAACAAAUUGAUGGCUAUAUACCAGAAUCGGGCGCUUUACUUCGGCGCUCGUAUGUCCGUCGGCAAUCGGUUUUCUUUUUGCACAUAAAAAUAAGUUGGAGUUGUGAUUAAUUCGUGCAAGUAGGCAACGCUGGUGCCCAGGGAAGAAGUUUAUGAGUACCUAAACCAUGGAGCUUGAAAUAUCUAAAGCGGAAGUGUUGGAGAUGUGCAUAUUUAAGGCAAGUCUUCUAUGCUGCAGAAUUUACGUGCGGUCGAUAUUUUUUUAUUUAAAAAAAUGUAUAUUACUAAAUGUUGUUAAUAAAAUACAAUAUCACUACAUAGUAUAAAGUAAAGUCGCUUUUUUUUCCGGUCCCUUUGUAUGCUUAAAUUUUUGAAACUACGCAACGGAUUUUGAUGCGGUUUUUUUUAAUAGAUAGAGUGAUUCAAGACGAAGGUUUGUAUGUAUAAUAACAUCCAUUAAAUAGUGGAGAAGUACUGUUAUUUCUAAUAUGAUAUUAUCGCCGUCUACUCUUUGUGCGAUGCUUCGUAGCUUCCCCCUCCAAGCAUAGACGUGUGUAUGUGUGUACGUGUGGGUUGAAGUUGACCGGUUGAUGUUUUUGUUUGGAGAAGGAAAGUCGCUUUCUCUGUCUGUCUCUUUGUAUGCUUAAAUCAUUGAAACUACGCAACGGAUUUUGAUGCGGUUUUUUACUUCCGUGCGAAGCCGGGGCAG